Serinus canaria (Common canary) is the source of this 6185-nucleotide long non-coding RNA. RefSeq lists it as uncharacterized. The transcript is spliced from 9 exons. Lineage: Eukaryota; Metazoa; Chordata; Aves; Passeriformes; Fringillidae. The record is from RefSeq and is a predicted model, not a curated record.
AACCUGGAUCCUGUUGCUGCUAAUCAAAUCAUGAUAGAAAGAGAAAAAUACCACAGGAGCUAGAGCUUCAUGAUUUCUAUCAAAAGCUUGCCAUUUCGUGCAGUAGAGGUUCUGUCAUGUGAUAUUACUCUGCACAGAGGGAAGUUGGAGAGCCCUGCACGCUGCUUUACUCCACUGGAAGCAACAGAAGUUUUAACCAUCUUCCCAUGGCAUCUGACUUUUUUGAAGAGGAGGACUUUUCAACCACUUGAUGGAAGGGAAAUAAGAAGUUUGUUUCAAGACUCUUAUGUUGUUCAUCAGUGCUGUUAACAAACGUGGGGCUUGAGGAUACAUUUGCUGCUUCUCUGCAUUUUUGCUGAAGGAAGGACCUUGCUGUCUCCCAGCUCCUGUGGGCAUUAGGUUUCAUAAAUGUCUCUUGGGAUGAGGACAGCUCUGUAGAGCCUAAGUUUCAAAGAUUGCACCCAAGAGAGAAUUAGUGAGAUGCACAGUGGGGAGAAUGAGCCCAGCAGUCCAUCCUGUCCUGUACCUGCCUGAAUAUGGGAAGAGACCUAGUACAAAGCCAGAAUGCAGCUGGGCUUGCACUAUUUUUAGCCAUAUUAAGUCCUGUUCAGAGUUAAUGAUGAGCUCAGUUAGGUGGUCUCAGCAAUGUUGAAGAAGGGAAGGACAGAAUUGGAAGACAGGAGCUAUUUCAAAGCAGGAUUCUUCAUCUUUCUGUAAUUCCCAAACAUGAAGAUUUUAUAAACUUCAUUAGAUCCUGCUAUCAAUGACAGCCUCCCUGAAAUCUUCCUAUCAGUUACUGCCAAGAUGAGAAGGAUAACAGGAAGGAGGAGUGCUUUAGUGGAUUUAAUGACAGUUAAUUUCUUCUGUUUAUCAAAUGACAGGUUGUUUUUUUCCUCAAAACUUGAUUGUCAUGACAAGAUGCUUUUGGAAGUCAUUUUUGUAAAAUAAAACUGACAAUUUUUAAGCUACAAAGAGCUAUUGUAUCUUUCUAUUGAAUGUUGUUAUUAUGGAAAAAUGCUGGAAAGUCUUUAUUUUUGAAGUAAUUUAACUUGCAUACUUCAUUCAUUUAUUUUAAUAUCUGUUGAAUGCCAUGUGAAAAGUUUCUUGCCAGAAUUCUUUUAUUCAAUGGAAUAGUUAUUGUUAUAAUGCUCAAUUUAUUAAUGCCUAAAUUACUGUUGACCUAGCCUCCUACAAAAAUGUUUAUUUUUAGUAAUUCUUAAACAAAUAAGGAGUGAAUGAGGUUUUGUCCCCUUUGUGUUUUGAUCAGCAUAUUUUCCCUUUCAGUGAAAGUGUCUUCAUUUUUUGGAAUGACUGAACGCAAAGAAAGGUGGUUUGGUUUUUGGGUUUUUUUUCCCAACAGCACGUGUCUUUUGUGCAAUGAUUUUUUAAUAUGUACACUGCCAAGAUACAAUUACUGGAAGGAGAGAGAGAAGCUGUUGGGAAUGUCAUGUUAUGCCAAAUUAAGAAUUAUUAGCUCUUACUUUCUGUGCAGUCUCUUCGACUAGAACUCGACCUAUUGCGUCUGGCGUAUACUUUGACUCUAGUGGAACUAAUGUGUCCUUGGAGUAGCAUUUCAGAGUAACUUCAGAUUCAUGCUUUUUUCACAAGUCUGCUUUAAACUGCUGGGAUUAACUUCAGAGAAGGCGAGAGAUACAAGCUCCUUUGUCAGCAGCUGUGCUGGUUGAAGAAGGAGGCUUCAUGCUCGCUUGCUUGCUCAUUCUCUCCCUGCUAGGGAAGCAGACUGAACUGUUUCCCUGAACACAUGCAGGCUGACUUCAGCCAAAGUGAAUCGUGUUAUCAGGUAUUAGUUAUCAGUGCCCUGGGUCACUCUGAUGAAAGGACAGGGCAUGCACAGACCAGCUGUGCAGACGUCAUGUCUGGGAAGGGUGCUGUGUUGACAAGAGUUGCUGAGGGCUGGCCCUGCUGUGUCGCCUUUUCAGCAGGUGCAGUUACAUCUCUCAGAUGUGGUAAAAAUUGGAUGUGUUAGAAAGCUGUGCAGAUCUGUCACGCAUAAUACUCACAUUCCAGGGGCAUCCUGGAUAAUGCAGAAUAAACCUGAGCUCUUUGACUUACUCCUUGUGUGUGCCAGUAUGAGGGGAGAGAACCAGUGUGUGUGAAUGUGCCAGACACCUAUUUCAGGAAAAUGUAUCUGAUCAAGGCAUGGGAAUGGUACAAGUGCUUGCAUUAUCUAGAGAACACACUUUUUACUUUACUCAUCAAAGAGGCUUCCUCAGCCAGCACAUGCCUCAGGAGAGCUGCUUUUGACAGAACAGCUGCCUUGAGUGGAGAAGGAAGAACAGCUCCAGCAGGAAUGGCUGCUGUUCAGUAGAUGCUGGAGUCUGGUGAGGCAUCCAAGCUCUUGCUAUUCCCUGGGCCAAAAUUAGAAUGGGAUGGAUAAUCUUUAGUACUCAAAGACAUAGUGAGUAAAAGCAGUGCUCUGAACAGCACCUUCCACACUGACCCUUCUUGUGCAAAGGCUGUGGAGUUUAGGUGCCUUCCUAGAGGCAGCCUGGGCAUACAAAGAAGAAGAGAAACCUGAGAGCAGCAGCACUGCUUGUCUCUCCUCUUGGGGUACUGCCAGGUGAAAAGAACACAGCCACAGAAAGGACUGAGCCUCCAGCUCAGGUUGUGUGUUGUCCCUUAUCUUUUACUUGUCCUUGAGGUAAAAGAUGAGGAAUAUGCAGUGGCCAUAUGUGCGUAUGGAAGGGAGGAAAAUGAAGUGCCAGGUGUGUGAGGAAGGGGCAGGUGUGGGUCCAGGUGUGAGAGCUGUGCCCUGUUCAGCAGCCCAGGGUUGAGCCAUGGCUGAGCUCUCAGUGCUGGGUUCAGGAGUGAUGUCACAUGUCUCACCUGACCAUGAGCUAAGUGCAAAUGACCUCCACAGCUCUCCGAGACAGCCCAUAAUCCAUAUCACUCUUUUUAUCUUAAAAUGGAUUGUUGCAGUACUGAGAUUGAAAUGUUUAAUGAAAUGCUUGUGAUUGCUUAGGUAUCUAUUUACCUGCCUAAGUGGUAAUACACAGGUAAACCAGUACUGCAAAAUAACAUCUUACAUUUAACACUGACAUGGAUAUUUAGCUGAUGAGUAAAAUUUUAUAUCCAAGCACUUAAAACCAUCAAAUACUAUAGUUAAACUGCCAUACUGUUUAUGUAGUGCUAAAAAGACAACAAAAUAAAACUUCAAGGAAGGCAGAUUUUCUUAUAAAUAUUCCAAAUAAUAGGUUGGUUUCAAGUAGACUUCCUGGCUCUUUGGUGAUUUCUGAAUUUGAUCUGAAUCUAUCAGGAAUCCCAAUCAUAAUGGUGUGUUUAUUAUUAUAGACACAUGACUUCUAUUUAAGUUAUCCGCAAAUAUGUUGGACAAAACAUAGUUUACCUUCUUAACUGGUACUAUAUGGUUACUUUCUAACUCCUUUAAUUUCAGUUCUAACUUGAUUGAAUUAAAGGUGCAUUCCUGACAGUAAUCUUUACAUCUGUAAUGGAACACUAGAUUUUGUAUGACUGUUUGCAUACUCCAGACAUAACACAACAUUUUUAUAGCAAUCUGUGUUGACAAUACAAAGAGAUAAAAAUCAGUUUAUGACAAACUAAGGAGCAAACUUUCAAUAAGACCAAUGAAUCAGCAGAAAUUAUUAGAAAGGGAUUAUUAGAUUUUCUGUCUUUUGAAUGAGGAUGAAAUAUUUUUAUAGAGGUAUGUGCUUGAACAAGUGGCCGGGGGUGGUCAAGGAAUUCCUCACAGGCUUCUGUGGCUUUUGCAACACCUGAGGUCAGACUGGGUCAUCUCAGACAUCCUUCUGGCUUGGAAGGGAGUGAGAAGUCUCAGUGUAGCAAAUAUCUUCAUAGAAUAGCAACUUUCACUGAAGAGUUACUCAAAGGUAAUUAAGCUUAUCUUCAAAAAAGGAUUGGGAGGGGCGUUGGGAAUGUUCCUGUCUCCUAGUGCCAUGCCUUUUUCAAAGAUCCUCUUUCACCUGACAGCUUGCUCCUGUGGGGUGUUUCAUUGGCUAAGGUGGGUUUCUCUGGUUCAUCCAUCCUCGCCCCAGCCACAUUAUUACAGCACAUGAACGUCUUUUUCAGGUCAAGUGUCUUCUACAGUGUCUACUUCUACAAAGUGUAAUGUUGCCUUUCUGCUAGAAAUAAUUAUUCUUUCAAAAUAAUCUGACAACAUCCUGCUGUGGAUAAAUUAGGUUAGCUCUCUACUAAGAUUAGUUAGCUGGCAUCCAUUCACUAACACAUUACAAGAGAAUGAUUGCAAGUUGAUUGUGUCCAGUUAUCUGCCUUUUUUCUGUUUGAUAGGCUUUUUGUUGCCAUGCUGUCACCAAACAUGUGCAAGUCAUACUAUUCCCAGUGCCCUACAGUCUGGGGAGAUGGGGUUUGCUGUCCCGUACCAUGGAAAGACUUUUGGGCAGAAGUGUUUGGAGAAGGGGAGAGGUUGUGACCUUGGAGAUUUCUGAAUCUUGUGCACCUUUGGUUUUGGCCCAGAGGGAUGUGUUCUGCUCUAUGGCAAUCAAUACAUUACCACCAAAGUUGAAAUGCCAGGUACAAUUAGCUCAUGUGUUUAAAUAGGUGUUGUUAUUUUUCAGCUUGUAUAUACAAGCCUGUUUUCAUGCAGAAGUCCAUAUUUUACUUGGGAAGAAUGCUGUGCAAAUCAGAAAAAGCAGAAAAAAUAUUUUAAGUUAUGUGCUAGUGUUAAAGAAUUUAGAAAUAACUGUGAGAUCUUGUAGCUACCCAGUUUGUGGUGAUUGGGAUGGAGCUGGCCCAGCCUUAUCCCCAACGAGCUCCAGCUGUGAGGAGCAGGGGAGCAGCAUUGUCACAAUGAGCCAUGGAGUGCCCAGGGGCACUGACCAACCACCAAAGGGAACAGAGGGCACACAGGUGCAGUACAUGAACACUGAGGGUAUAAAGGUUGGGCUAAAGAGCAAGAAGGACAAAAGUUUGCAGCCUGCUGAAGUGGCCUGGUGUUACUCUGUAUGGACAGCCACCUGAAGCCUUCUGAUGUGGUAAGGUGUUACUGUGUUUGGGAGCGUGCUUAAAGCCUUCUGAAAUUGCAUGGUGAUGCUCUGUGCAUUGUGGCUGUCUUUACUGUGCCCUAUGUUGUGACAAGAUCUUUAUUUCUUUGUUUACAAUUGAUUAGGGCUAGAAUUUUAAAAGCUUAGUGCUGACUCAAAGUGCUUUGCAGUCAGUCACUAAGAAAUAUGGGCUUGGCCCAACUCAUGUUUUUGUCCUUCAGUAUAUCCAUUAUUGUUAGGUGCUGAGUGGUUAUUGCACAUAGAUGACUGGUUUUUUUUAGGUAUUUUACAUUUUUAUGUGUUCAGAAAAAUACUUUGUUAAAGUAGCUGCUGGGUGAAUGGAGUAAUUAAAGAAUUGUACUGAUUUUAUUGAAGCUGACAUAUGCUGCACAUUCCUUAAAACUCAAUAUGUGAGCAGAAUGUUUCCAGGAUUUAUUGAAGGCAGGCAUCUAGAGAUAGUGGGGAGCUUUUAAUAGUUGUAAAGAUAACUUCCAAAUUUUAUGUUGUUAUAUAAACCUGUCUUUAAGAAGAGAGCUGUUAUUGCAGUACAUUGCUCAUGUUCUUUGUAUUCUGUCCGUGUGUAUGUUUUAUGUAUGUACUUGUACACCUACAAACAAAUGCUUCACCUGGGCACUUUAUUUGACAGUGAUUUUAUAUUCUAUUUACUAUUUGUUUGGGGGGGGAAAAAAGUGGUUUAAUGCUGACUGAGAAUCUAAUUUUCUUGGUACGAAAAGUAAUCUGCAGUAUAUUGUGGGGGUUUUUAAUUUUUUUUUUUUUAACUGGAAUAUAUCCCUGAUUAGUUUGAAUUACAAUUCUUACUGUGAGAGUGUUGUGGUAGCAAGCAAGAAAUCUUACUCAGCAUAAACUGAGGCUGGGUUUCAUUUUGACUAGUAUGAUGAGUGCAAUGUUCCACGUGCGAUACUUUCGCAAGUUGUGAAAAAAUAGACUUGUUUAUCUAUCAUUUGUAUUUCAUAUGAUUUCAGAGUAGAAUGCUGUCAUAACUAUUGAAUUACUUGGCUAAAACUAGCAAACUUUUGCCUGUGUAUUUUGUCAUGUUUAGACCUUAAGCAUUUUUCAAGCAAUAUGUUUGACUUACUAUUGUUGCACACUGUAAAACAAAAUACAAUAUUAAAAUACAUGCUGAAAGAACGUUCUUCAUCAGCUAUGAAUAAACAUGUGGAAAAUAUA